GUGGGGAAUAUUGGACAAUGGGCGAAAGCCUGAUCCAGCCAUGCCGCGUGUGUGAAGAAGGUCUUCGGAUUGUAAAGCACUUUAAGUUGGGAGGAAGGGCAGUAAGUUAAUACCUUGCUGUUUUGACGUUACCGACAGAAUAAGCACCGGCUAACUUCGUGCCAGCAGCCGCGGUAAUACGAAGGGUGCAAGCGUUAAUCGGAAUUACUGGGCGUAAAGCGCGCGUAGGUGGUUCAGCAAGUUGGAGGUGAAAUCCCCGGGCUCAACCUGGGAACUGCCUCCAAAACUGCAUGACUAGAGUACGGUAGAGGGUAGUGGAAUUUCCUGUGUAGCGGUGAAAUGCGUAGAUAUAGGAAGGAACACCAGUGGCGAAGGCGACUACCUGGACUGAUACUGACACUGAGGUGCGAAAGCGUGGGGAGCAAACAGGAUUAGAAACCCCGGUAGUCC
This 450-nucleotide ribosomal RNA is filed under the name uncultured bacterium. RNAcentral describes it as "partial 16S ribosomal RNA". It matches the Rfam family "Bacterial small subunit ribosomal RNA", at positions 354 to 796 of the family's 1533-position model. The record is from RNAcentral.